AUUGAACGCUGGCGGAAUGCUUUACAUAUGCAAGUCGAACGGCAGCACGGGGGCAACCCUGGUGGCGAGUGGCGAACGGGUGAGUAAUACAUCGGAACGUGCCCGGUCGUGGGGGAUAACGUAGCGAAAGUUACGCUAAUACCGCAUACGAUCUGAGGAUGAAAGCGGGGGACCUUCGGGCCUCGCGCGAUCGGAGCGGCCGAUGUCAGAUUAGGUAGUUGGUGGGGUAAAGGCCUACCAAGCCGACGAUCUGUAGCUGGUCUGAGAGGACGACCAGCCACACUGGGACUGAGACACGGCCCAGACUCCUACGGGAGGCAGCAGUGGGGAAUUUUGGACAAUGGGCGCAAGCCUGAUCCAGCCAUUCCGCGUGCAGGACGAAGGCCUUCGGGUUGUAAACUGCUUUUGUAUGGAACGAAAAGGCUCUGGCUAAUACCUGGGGCUCAUGACGGUACCGUAAGAAUAAGCACCGGCUAACUACGUG
Molecule: ribosomal RNA, 484 nt
Filed under: uncultured bacterium
Lineage: Bacteria
Description: partial 16S ribosomal RNA
Rfam family: Bacterial small subunit ribosomal RNA
Source: RNAcentral